GAAGCAUAUGUCUCCACACACACAUAGUGUGUGUUCUUGCGUGAAUCAAAGGAGAAGGCAAAGAGAAGGAAUUUGAAAAUUUGCAUGGAUAAUCUAUGGGGUUGGAAGUGUUCAUCAUCUCCUAAGCAUCAAGAAUCACGUUAGCACGGACUCAAGCACGGAAGGCUAGCGAGUCGAAGGGAGGCAAGAAAACAAGCAUUAACAUGGACGCUAAAGGUAAGUGAUUUCCGAACUCACUUCUUAUUAGUUAAAUGAAGAUAUAUAUGUUUGAAUAAUUGUAGUCAAGUAGGAACGUUCACAUAAUUGGAAAUGAUAAGGUAAGAAUUGUUGUAAUGGUUGGUACGAUGUCAAAACCGGUAAAACCUCAAUAUAAGGGUAAGCGGGUCAUAACCUUCUAGUAAAAGGAUAUUAGACAAAGAAUAUGGGAAUUGGGUAUGGAAAAUGUGUGGAAUAAAUUGGGAGUUGGAUAGUGCUAAUUCUGCGUCUCGGAACUCCCGGGACACGCGUCUAGCGAAAAGAAACAAAACAAAGAUUUAGCAUCGGCGUUGCAGAAGCCGCGUCGCCGACGGGGCACCUCUGCGUCGUCGACCCGAUGCCCUGUCCCUACGCCUUAACACGCUACCGACGGCCUUUUUACCCCGACGCGGAAACCCAUGUUGCGUCGCCAACACGGGUUUAGCACGUCGGCGACGCGAUGUUUGAUGCGAGCUUCCAUUUUCAUCGUUUCGCAUAUCCGAUUGAUCCCAGUUUCAACCCGAUGAUCCGUAAGGUUCCCAAGAAGCUUCUUAAGCUUCGGUAGACAUGUGAAACAUCGGUUUUUAAUCAUGCAUCGAGAUGCGAGUAAGAAUACAACUAGUAUGCGAGAACGAAUAGGAAAAGAAUAAUGAAUGUGACCAUGUAUGUGCAGGAUAUAUAUACAUAUAUAUACACACACAUGUGUGUGAUUUGAAUCUUGUUGAUCAACGCGUUAGUAUGUAUUACACACAUGAAGGGAUAGAACUUGUUCAUAGGAAUGUUAUAGGUGGAUAGUUGUAUGCAUGAAUAAGUAUGAUAAUCGAAUGUAAAUUAGUCAAUCGAGACUUGUAUCUGUGAUGUAGAUAUGUAAUCAUAGUGGACGUAAGUAACGUGAACUUAUAUGUGUGAUAUUUGUAUGGGACUGAUUUGCAUGUAAUUGGUUUUAGGAAAGUGUAUACACGUGUUGUAGUUGAAAGAAUGUAUACCAAUGAUACUUGUUUACGCGAAGAUGUGAAUUUUUAAUAUGUUGAGAUUAUGUGUUACUAAUCGUGUUCUGUU
RNAcentral lists this long non-coding RNA (1293 nucleotides) under Helianthus annuus (common sunflower). Its description in RNAcentral is "hypothetical non coding rna". The record is from RNAcentral. Lineage: Eukaryota; Viridiplantae; Streptophyta; Magnoliopsida; Asterales; Asteraceae.